CACAGCGCUUUCACUCGCCUUGUUUUGGUUGCGAACAGCUAUCAGCGGUGUGUCAACAUUUUCAUAAGAAUCAUGCAUGGCCUGCAAGACGCCGAGAGUGGAAAAUGCAGCUCAACCAUCGUUUGAGAGAUAAUAAAGCCCAACAUGGACUUCUGCUUCCACCUGGCGACAUGGGUUUUGCGGGUCGAUUCUUGUGGUUUCAACUCUUGAGGUUACCCUGUCUUCCCUACCCACAUAUUCCCUGUGUUUUACAGACUAUUUAAUAAAAAUAAUAACCUGAUAAUGCAUAAACAUGAUGGAUAAAAAGGUGCUCAUCAUCAUGCUUUGGUGUAUUUUGAAUGUGUGAAGACAUUAUUAAAAACAAAAUUUAAGUUGUUUAAAAAAAAUUACAAUUGUGAGUUUUGAAAUUUUGCUUUUUAAUAAAAGUAUAAAUUGAU
Long non-coding RNA from Magallana angulata, 437 nucleotides. RefSeq lists it as uncharacterized. The transcript has 2 exons. Lineage: Eukaryota; Metazoa; Mollusca; Bivalvia; Ostreida; Ostreidae. The record is from RefSeq and is a predicted model, not a curated record.